AUUGUAUCCACGAUUGGGGAAUUUUCCGCAAUGGGCGCAAGCCUGACGGAGCAAGACCGCGUGGGGGAGGAAGGUUUGUGGACUGUAAACCCCUUUUAUCAGAGAAGAACACAAUGACGGUAUCUGAUGAAUCAGCCUCGGCUAACUCCGUGCCAGCAGCCGCGGUAAUACGGAGGAUGCAAGCGUUAUCCGGAAUGAUUGGGCGUAAAGCGUCCGCAGGUGGCAUUUCAAGUCUGCGGUCAAAGGUCGAGGCUCAACCUCGAACAGGCCGUGGAAACUGAAAAGCUAGAGUGUGGUAGGGGCAGAGGGAAUUCCCAGUGUAGCGGUGAAAUGCGUAGAGAUUGGGAAGAACACCGGUGGCGAAAGCGCUCUGCUAGGCCAAGACUGACACUGAGGGACGAAAGCUAGGGGAGCGAAUGGGAUUAGAUACCCCAGUAGUCAAUCGUGGAUACAAU
Molecule: ribosomal RNA, 455 nt
Filed under: uncultured cyanobacterium
Lineage: Bacteria; Bacillati; Cyanobacteriota
Description: bacterial SSU rRNA
Rfam family: Bacterial small subunit ribosomal RNA
Source: RNAcentral